This 534-nucleotide ribosomal RNA is filed under the name Enterococcus sp. M156. Its description in RNAcentral is "bacterial SSU rRNA". It matches the Rfam family "Bacterial small subunit ribosomal RNA", at positions 62 to 567 of the family's 1533-position model. Lineage: Bacteria; Bacillati; Bacillota; Bacilli; Lactobacillales; Enterococcaceae. The record is from RNAcentral.
UCGAACGCUUCUUUUUCCACCGGAGCUUGCUCCACCGGAAAAAGAGGAGUGGCGAACGGGUGAGUAACACGUGGGUAACCUGCCCAUCAGAAGGGGAUAACACUUGGAAACAGGUGCUAAUACCGUAUAACAAUCGAAACCGCAUGGUUUUGAUUUGAAAGGCGCUUUCGGGUGUCGCUGAUGGAUGGACCCGCGGUGCAUUAGCUAGUUGGUGAGGUAACGGCUCACCAAGGCCACGAUGCAUAGCCGACCUGAGAGGGUGAUCGGCCACAUUGGGACUGAGACACGGCCCAAACUCCUACGGGAGGCAGCAGUAGGGAAUCUUCGGCAAUGGACGAAAGUCUGACCGAGCAACGCCGCGUGAGUGAAGAAGGUUUUCGGAUCGUAAAACUCUGUUGUUAGAGAAGAACAAGGAUGAGAGUAACUGUUCAUCCCUUGACGGUAUCUAACCAGAAAGCCACGGCUAACUACGUGCCAGCAGCCGCGGUAAUACGUAGGUGGCAAGCGUUGUCCGGAUUUAUUGGGCGUAAAGCG